RNAcentral lists this ribosomal RNA (258 nucleotides) under uncultured bacterium. Its description in RNAcentral is "partial small subunit ribosomal RNA". It matches the Rfam family "Bacterial small subunit ribosomal RNA", at positions 26 to 285 of the family's 1533-position model. The record is from RNAcentral.
AGGACGAACGCUGGCGGCGUGCCUAACACAUGCAAGUCGAGCGGUGAAGCUCCUUCGGGAGCGGAUCAGCGGCGAACGGGUGAGUAACACGUGGGCAACCUACCCUUGACUCUGGGAUAACUCCGGGAAACCGGGGCUAAUACCGGAUAUGACGCAUAAGGACCUCCUCGUGCGUGGAAAGAUUUAUCGGUCAGGGAUGGGGCCCGCGGCCUAUCAGCUUGUUGGUGGGGUAACGGCCCACCAAGGCGACGACGGGUA